Molecule: ribosomal RNA, 465 nt
Filed under: Vreelandella stevensii
Lineage: Bacteria; Pseudomonadati; Pseudomonadota; Gammaproteobacteria; Oceanospirillales; Halomonadaceae
Description: partial 16S ribosomal RNA
Rfam family: Bacterial small subunit ribosomal RNA
Source: RNAcentral
CCUACGGGUGGCUGCAGUGGGGAAUAUUGGACAAUGGGGGGAACCCUGAUCCAGCCAUGCCGCGUGUGUGAAGAAGGCCCUCGGGUUGUAAAGCACUUUCAGUGAGGAAGAACGCCUGGUGGUUAAUACCCAUCAGGAAAGACAUCACUCACAGAAGAAGCACCGGCUAACUCCGUGCCAGCAGCCGCGGUAAUACGGAGGGUGCGAGCGUUAAUCGGAAUUACUGGGCGUAAAGCGCGCGUAGGUGGCUUGAUAAGCCGGUUGUGAAAGCCCCGGGGUCAACCUGGGAACGGCAUCCGGAACUGUCAAGCUAGAGUGCAGGAGAGGAAGGUAGAAUUCCCGGUGUAGCGGUGAAAUGCGUAGAGAUCGGGAGGAAUACCAGUGGCGAAGGCGGCCUUCUGGACUGACACUGACACUGAGGUGCGAAAGCGUGGGUAGCAAACAGGAUUAGAUACCCGAGUAGUC